This is a long non-coding RNA of Oxyura jamaicensis (ruddy duck), 4558 nucleotides long. RefSeq lists it as uncharacterized. The record is from RefSeq and is a predicted model, not a curated record. NCBI's taxonomy places the organism in Eukaryota, Metazoa, Chordata, Aves, Anseriformes, Anatidae. The transcript has 2 exons.
GCCCCGCGCCUCAGGGAGGCGGGCGGGAAAGCCCUGAGGGGGGAGCCGGGGUAUGGCUGGGGUGACCCGGCCGCAGCGAGCCCCGUGGUGGUUUGCUGUCAAAAAAAAAAAAAAAAAAAAAAAAACACGUUUGGGAACAUUCUGGCUGGCUGCUCCCACCUCCACCCCCCCCCCAAACCUUAGUUUGGUGGUAGGAGAAGCCAUAUUGCUGAGCUAAUCCGGGUUUAAAAAUAGCACAAAGUAACACAAAACAACACAAAACUGCACUUUUUUUGGUACCUGAGGUCUAACAUUUCCUUGUGUUGUGGCAUCAAGGUUCAGAAACCUGUAUCGGGACCCCGGCCCUGUCACAGGAAGGUGUCUGCAUUCAAGGGCAGCCUGUGGUUUCAGUGGGAACCUGAAGCGUAAAGCACUUAAAGCUCAGGAAAAAGGAAAAAAAAUACAAAAAAAAAUGGUACAAAAUAGUAAAAAUGGAUCUAAGCGUGAUUUAUAGGUGGGAGUCUUAAGGAGGGACUUCAGGCUGAUGCACUGAAACUGUCAAAUUUAAGACGCGUUCUCCUCAAGUAAAGAAUGGCGUGGAAAGUGCAACGUGGACGGGUGCUCGAGAGAAAAGUCAACAGAAGCUGCUUUACAGCAGCCUGGAAAGCAAAAUAUUUUCACUAAUGUUCCCUUCAUAAAGAUCUUAGAUGACGUCAGCCUGCCAUCUGUGCCUAGUAGAAACCUCAUCCUUGGGUAUGUCACUGUACUAAAAAUGAUAAUAUUUUUCUCAUUUUACUAAUAUCCAAUACUGGAAUUUUACAGCUUCCCUUGGAGCAUGCAAUACCAAUCCCUCUAAAAUGGAACAUAUCUCACAUGCCUACCAGCUCCCAGCACUCUGCAAAUUGUAUAAACUAAUAGCCAAAUAUAGAAAUAACUUCAUCCCAUCGGCGGAAUGAAGCACAGCCACCAAUUUUUCUAUUAUCAAAUACAAUAAAGCGAUUGUAAAUGGCUUCCUAGGGCAGGAAGUUAUGACCACACGACAACCAUCCGAAGAUGCAAGAAUAUGGAAAGCACAGGACGAAAACCUCUCAGAGACGUGCGUCGUCUGCAGAGCCAGCCGAGGCAAUUGGCAUGCAUGUCAGGUCAGCGCGGGAUCGAAUGUCCACUCUGCAGUCACACUCCAGUUGUUGCCUCUGCAGUGCCCCUGCAUUUCUCUGGGAGCUCUGCAGCCACGUGCACGCUCUCACAGGGCAUUUUUGGGGGGGAAAAAACACCUCUGCUUUUUGCACCAAUGUCGUCUUAGCCCAUAGACUCGGUUACUCUGAGUUUGGGGUGCUCUGGAUUUCCAUUGUUGGUCUCCCAUAGGUACAAACUGUGGAUCUGGGCCAAACGAUGACUUCCACCGGUUGCUGAGAUGAGUGUAGCUUUCGCUGCAGGGCCACGGAGGUGUCUUGGCGGGGGCUUGCUGCUCUGUGAAGACAGGGUAAUGCCCUGCCAGUGCAGGCAGACGUAGAGGCAGCUGAUGCGGACUGGAAUAGCUGUGGAAUUCCCUUGUGCUAAUCAGCAGUUUUGGAACGGGGCCACAAGCACGGAGGGCUGGGCCUGUGCCACCCGGCAGGCCUGGUGCAACCUGCAGUGGGCUGGAAGGAGGAAGGUCACUUCCCUGUGCAUCACAGGAAGGUAGAGUCACGUGAGACACCAAAAAACUCUCGUAAUGGUAGGAUGACAGAAUACUGGAAGGCCUUCCGGAGGCUCUGGAGUCUCCCCCGUUGAAGGUUUUAAGAACAGGUUGGGCAAAUGCUGCUCAGGAAUGCUGUAGGUAGAGUUGCUCUUGCCUCAGGGAGAGGGGUGGCUGACAUGACGUCUCAGGGUCCAAUCUGGCUGCAUAUUUCCCUGGCCACAUGUUGCUAAUUGGUUUGGAGUGGGCAGAUGAACCUGUGGGCUUGUGAAAGCGCACCUCUACAGGGCAGUGGCUGUUGAGUGUGCUUGGCUGGGGCUAACACGUGCUCGUUUCUUCACCACACCUCUCACUUAUGUGAAAAGAAGAGAGCAGACAGGACCCAAAGCUCUUGACAGGGAACGACGUUCGUUUGGGAUGCACCAAAAGGGGCCUCGAGAGGCAAAUUUUCCCAGUAUGAACGAACUGACGCUGCCUCAGGAAAACUCAGCAUCAGCACUUGUUUCCCCAGGUUCUCGUGGAGAUCCAGCGAAGCCCAGGCUGCCUCAUGUCAUAGACCCACGGGGUAAGGGUUGGCACAAGGCUAACUGCAAGUACAAAUGCGCAUUUUGCCAGCAGAAGGGUAGGGAGCUUGGCUCACACCCUGCGGGGAUGCCAGGGCUGGUCAGGACUUGUCACAUCCAGCAGAGAGAAGGAGGGGAGGAGGUUAGCUGGCUGAAGGCAAAUGGUGCGUGGUGGGAAAAGGGAGUUCUGGUGGGCAGGCCCAGAAAGGCUUAAAUCUUCACAUCCUUGCUCUGGGAAAACGUGGAAGGGAUAGCGUGGGGAUGAAGUUAGCCAUCUACCUGACAGAUGUGCCUGCUCAGGUGCUCCGAGGCUGUGGGAGAGACGUCGGGGGACUCUGUACAAGGUGCUUUAGCCAUUCACCUUGUCUUUGGCUGCUGAAUUCUGGUCCAGAGCAAAAAAAAACACAGUAACAAGGAAGAAUUGCCUAGCAAAGGGUGAAAGCGUGAGGGGACUGGGAGUGCCUGUGUCAAUCAGCUGCUCCCUUUUGUAGGAGGGGUGGCUUAGAAGUGGCAGCGUAAGAAGUGGCUUUUGGGCUAUGGCCAGCGGCAUCAGGUCUGCCCUAAAAGCACCACCUUGGGUGACAGAUCUGAUGUUUUCAGGUGCUGUGGUGGGGUCAGUGCAUAAAUACGAGCCCAAGGUCAGCCUGCAGUGAAGAUUUCUCUGCAGGUGUGUGGCUAUGUUACAGCCAGGUUUGUAAGUGAGAAAAAAAUAAGGAUUUUUAGGGGUCACGGAGAUGAUGUGUUCAAAAGAGAAUGAGACACGUGCCCAUGCUAGCAUGCUUAGCGCAGCUCACAGACCAGCUCAACCCAAAACAUUGCUCCCAUCAGCUGAGCCCAUGUGGGGAGGAGGGAGAUGAUUUCUCCAAAGAGUGUUUUGGAGACACAGGUGUAGCUUUAGGACCUGCUGAACGCGCCGACUUGCUUGUUUGAUGACAGCAGACAUUACAGGGAGCGGGGGCCUGCUAUCUCCCUGGGUUUCUACAGGAAGGUUGGUCUCUGGUGUGCUGGAGAUGAAGGAGCUGCACGUGGUCGUGCAGCGGAAGACAUGUUCCUGGCAGCAGCUCUGUUCUGAGUCUGUUUCCUCCAAAAUGUCCUAGCUGCCUCAGAGUUAAAAAAUCUGCUGCUGCCUGCUGGCACUUCCUAGCUGCCUGCGCUUGCAAGCGGUACGAGGAGGAAACCCAGCCACUGUGCAACUUGGAUCAUCAGGAGAGAAAAAGCGGAUCCGUCUUUUUUUCUUGCCCGUGGAGUUUUCGUGCAUCUCAAGCCCACAGAAGAGAAAAGCAAUUGAUUCACCCACUGUGCUGUCAACAAACCCCCUGAUGAUUUAGCGCUUUUGUAACCGAGCAGUUUUUAAACAUUCACAGUGCAGGCUGAGGAGGAAAACUACAGACACAGCUGCAUGGCUUUUUCCUUUUCUCUCUUUUUCAGAUGAAAAAUAAAUAAAUAAAAGGACGCAUCCAUUGCUUUCCUUUAAUCUGAGUCUUUGCAGCAGUGAUUGCUCAGUAAUGUGCAAUAAAACAGAUUUGCACGGCUCAUAAAGAGCCAGGCUCGUUUUCGUUACCCUAGGGAGAAUGUUGACAGAGCAGUGUGUUCGUUGGAAGUAGCCUUGAUUGGGCUCUGGAUGCCACAGCUUCUCUGCAGCCAGAUUAGGCCAAAGCCAAGUGAGUUUGGGGAAGAUUCCUCUGCAGGAAAGCUCUGUUGAAGUUCCUAGUCACCAAAAUCCACACAGGUCCACUCUGGAGAGCUGCUACUGGAAGGGCAGUGGGUUCCUGCAGCAUCACCCAGAGCCUGGCCUCGCAAACACAAGGUUCUGGUCUUUCACCUGAAUAUCCCCUCUGCAGUUUAGAUCUUUACACCUGCUUCUUCAGCUUUGUGCUGCGGUAUCUAAUGACACCCCUCAGGUAUUUUCAGCAUGUUUUCUCUCCUCCUCCUCAAAUGUAGUUCGGUGAAGUUCUGCAUAGGCCAAUCUCUCAUUUUUUUCUGCACAGAAUAUGACAAGCACCUGAACUCCACUGUUACAGAACAAGAUGGGGCAGGGUGAAGAGUCUGAACAGAACGUGAGCAGCCCUGCCAGCUACUAGAGGGAGGCCAGUUCUUCAAGUUUUCUAUUACUUAAUAUAUUUGGUCUUUUUUUUCCCAGAUUGUCAGUUCUUCCAUGAAAAAGACACGUCCAGAGCUUUGUUCUCUAUUUCAGGUCAAGUGCCCCAGUAGCCAUCUCAACACCAGUUUCCGGUGUGGCCCCUCUGGGUGGUUUUGCUGUACCUCUAGCUGUACGGCUCACCCUUUUUUACAACUCCUUGGCAUCGCCACACAGAGCCAGCUCAUAAUUUCACCUGUG